GACGAACGCUGGCGGCGUGCCUAAUACAUGCAAGUUGAGCGCUGAAGGUUGGUACUUGUACCAACUGGAUGAGCAGCGAACGGGUGAGUAACGCGUGGGGAAUCUGCCUUUGAGCGGGGGACAACAUUUGGAAACGAAUGCUAAUACCGCAUAAAAACUUUAAACACAAGUUUUAAGUUUGAAAGAUGCAAUUGCAUCACUCAAAGAUGAUCCCGCGUUGUAUUAGCUAGUUGGUGAGGUAAAGGCUCACCAAGGCGAUGAUACAUAGCCGACCUGAGAGGGUGAGCGGCCACAUUGGGACUGAGACACGGCCCAAACUCCUACGGGAGGCAGCAGUAGGGAAUCUUCGGCAAUGGACGAAAGUCUGACCGAGCAACGCCGCGUGAGUGAAGAAGGUUUUCGGAUCGGAAAACUCUGUUGGUAGAGAAGAACGUUGGUGAGAGUGGAAAGCUCAUCAAGUGACGGUAACUACCCAGAAAGGGACGGCUAACUACGUG
Molecule: ribosomal RNA, 497 nt
Filed under: uncultured bacterium
Lineage: Bacteria
Description: partial 16S ribosomal RNA
Rfam family: Bacterial small subunit ribosomal RNA
Source: RNAcentral